UACGGAGGGGGCUAGCGUUGUUCGGAAUUACUGGGCGUAAAGCGCGCGUAGGCGGCUUUGUAAGUUAGAGGUGAAAGCCCGGAGCUCAACUCCGGAAUAGCCUUUAAGACUGCAUCGCUAGAACGUUGGAGAGGUAAGUGGAAUUCCGAGUGUAGAGGUGAAAUUCGUAGAUAUUCGGAAGAACACCAGUGGCGAAGGCGGCUCACUGGCCCGGUACUGACGCUGAGGUGCGAAAGCGUGGGGAGCAAACAGG
This 253-nucleotide ribosomal RNA is filed under the name uncultured bacterium. Its description in RNAcentral is "partial 16S ribosomal RNA". It matches the Rfam family "Bacterial small subunit ribosomal RNA", at positions 524 to 776 of the family's 1533-position model. The record is from RNAcentral.